Molecule: ribosomal RNA, 1479 nt
Filed under: uncultured eukaryote
Lineage: Eukaryota
Description: partial Bacterial large subunit ribosomal RNA
Rfam family: Bacterial large subunit ribosomal RNA
Source: RNAcentral
GUCAAGCGAAUAAGCGCACACGGUGGAUGCCUUGGCGGUCAGAGGCGAUGAAGGACGUGACAGCCUGCGAAAAGCGUGGGGGAGCUGGCAAUAAGCUUUGAUCCCGCGAUGUCCGAAUGGGGAAACCCACUGCUUCGGCAGUAUCCUGCAGUGAAUACAUAGCUGCUGGAGGCGAACCCGGUGAACUGAAAUAUCUAAGUAACCGGAGGAAAAGAAAUCAACCGAGAUUCCCUAAGUAGUGACGAGCGAACGGGGACUAGCCCUUAAGCUGGAAUGGUUCUAGAAAAACAACCUGGAAAGGUUGGCCAUAGAAGGUGAUAGCCCUGUAUUUGAAAGGGCCACUCCAGUGAAGACGAGUAAGGCGGGGCACGUGAAACCCUGUCUGAACAUGGGGGGACCAUCCUCCAAGGCUAAAUACUCCUGACCGACCGAUAGUGAACCAGUACCGUGAGGGAAAGGCGAAAAGAACCCCUGUGAGGGGAGUGAAAUAGAACCUGAAACCGUAUACGUACAAGCAGUGGGAGCCCUUCGGGGUGACUGCGUACCUUUUGUAUAAUGGGUCAGCGACUUAUAUUCUGUAGCAAGGUUAACCGAAUAGGGGAGCCGUAGGGAAACCGAGUCUUAAUAGGGCGUCUAGUUGCAGGGUAUAGACCCGAAACCGAGUGAUCUAUCCAUGAGCAGGUUGAAAGUGACGUAACAGUUACCGGAGGACCGAACCCACUGUCGUUGAAAAGCCAGGGGAUGACUUGUGGAUAGGGGUGAAAGGCUAAUCAAACUCGGUGAUAGCUGGUUCUCCCCGAAAGCUAUUUAGGUAGCGCCUCGGACGAACACCAUUGGGGGUAGAGCACUGUUUCGGCUAGGGGGUCAUCCCGACUUACCAAACCGAUGCAAACUCCGAAUACCGAUGAGUGAUAUCCGGGAGACAGACGGCGGGUGCUAACGUCCGUCGUCAAGAGGGAAACAACCCAGACCGCCAGCUAAGGUCCCUAAAAUUGGCUAAGUGGGAAACGAAGUGAGAAGGCUAAAACAGUCAGGAUGUUGGCUUAGAAGCAGCCACCCUUUAAAGAAAGCGUAAUAGCUCACUAGUCGAGUCGGCCUGCGCGGAAGAUGUAACGGGGCUCAAACUAGGAGCCGAAGCUGCGGAUUUAAUUGUUUCAAUUAAGUGGUAGGGGAGCAUUGUGUAAGCCUGUGAAGGUGUGUUGUAAAGCAUGCUGGAGGUAUCACAAGAGCGAAUGCUGACGUGAGUAACGACAAUGCGAGUGAAAAGCUCGCACGCCGGAAGACCAAGGGUUCCAGUCCAACGUUAAUCGGGGCUGGGUGAGUCGACCCCUAAGGCGAGGCCGAAAGGCGUAGUCGAUGGGAAAUCGGUUAAUAUUCCGAUACUUGUUUAUGAUGCGAUGGAGGGACGGAGAAGGUUAUGCCAGCCUGGCGAUGGUUGUCCAGGUGGAAGGAUGUAGUUAGGUUUAGUAGGCAAAUCCG